GAGAGUGUAGCUCAGUGGCAGAGCGUGUGCUUAGCAUGCACGAGGUCCGGGGUUCUAUUCCCAGUACCUCCA
This 72-nucleotide transfer RNA is filed under the name Camelus bactrianus (Bactrian camel). It matches the Rfam family "tRNA". Rfam says of the family: Transfer RNA (tRNA) molecules are approximately 80 nucleotides in length. Their secondary structure includes four short double-helical elements and three loops (D, anti-codon, and T loops). Lineage: Eukaryota; Metazoa; Chordata; Mammalia; Artiodactyla; Camelidae. The record is from Rfam by way of RNAcentral. RNAcentral also lists the same sequence under 3 other names.